This is a non-coding RNA of Triticum aestivum (bread wheat), 125 nucleotides long. The record is from Rfam. NCBI's taxonomy places the organism in Eukaryota, Viridiplantae, Streptophyta, Magnoliopsida, Poales, Poaceae.
GUUAUACUCCCUCCGUCCAGAAAUACUUGUCGGAGGAAUGCCUAAAAAUGAAUGUAUCUAGAACUGAAAUACAUCUAGAUACAUCCAUUUCUCCGACGAGUAUUUCUGGACAAACGGAGUACAAA